GCCGCUCGGGAACAGAAGAUGCUUCCAUCGCCAUCACAGAAAUCGUUUCUGACGGUUUUUAAAUCUUACCAGCAAUGAAAUUUUCUUGAUGUCAUCUGUUAUGGGAUUUCCGAUUUCACUGGAAUAGGCAGCAACCGUGAUGUAAAGCAACAAAUGGACACAGAUGCACUUAAAGGGCUUCACGCUAACCGAAUAAAAGACGGCAAAGACGGCGGUAUCGCAUAUCCUGAGAGAGAGCGCUCUCACUUUACCCUCAGAAGAAGCUUCCUUCAGGACACCAGAUGAAUUCAUGUGGAUUUCAUUUGGGAACUGAUUU
Molecule: long non-coding RNA, 316 nt
Organism: Tachysurus vachellii
Lineage: Eukaryota; Metazoa; Chordata; Actinopteri; Siluriformes; Bagridae
Exons: 2
Source: RefSeq, a predicted model, not a curated record